CCUACGGGUGACAGCAGUGAGGAAUAUUGGUCAAUGGACGAGAGUCUGAACCAGCCAAGUAGCGUGAGGGAUGACGGUCCUAUGGAUUGUAAACCUCUUUUGUCGGGGAGCAAGGCCCGCCACGUGUGGCGGGAAGGAGAGUACCCGAAGAAAAAGCAUCGGCUAACUCCGUGCCAGCAGCCGCGGUACUACGGGGGAUGCGAGCGUUAUCCGGAUUUAUGGGGGUUAAAGGGUGCGGAGGCGGACUGUAAAGUCAGCGGUAAAAGCCCGGGGCGCAACCCCGGCGAGCCGUUGAAACUGGCAGUCUUGAGAUGUCGAGAGGUAUGCGGAAUGCGCAGUGGAGCGGUGAAAUGCUUAGAUAUUGCGCAGAACUCCGAUGGCGAAGGCAGCAUACCGGCGGCGAUCUGACGCUGAGGCACGAAAGCGUGGGUAUCGAACAGGAUUAGAUACCCCAGUAGUC
This 460-nucleotide ribosomal RNA is filed under the name uncultured bacterium. Its description in RNAcentral is "partial 16S ribosomal RNA". It matches the Rfam family "Bacterial small subunit ribosomal RNA", at positions 338 to 795 of the family's 1533-position model. The record is from RNAcentral.